This 69-nucleotide transfer RNA is filed under the name Ictidomys tridecemlineatus (thirteen-lined ground squirrel). Its description in RNAcentral is "Spermophilus tridecemlineatus (thirteen-lined ground squirrel) tRNA". It matches the Rfam family "tRNA". Rfam says of the family: Transfer RNA (tRNA) molecules are approximately 80 nucleotides in length. Their secondary structure includes four short double-helical elements and three loops (D, anti-codon, and T loops). The record is from Rfam by way of RNAcentral. Lineage: Eukaryota; Metazoa; Chordata; Mammalia; Rodentia; Sciuridae.
GGGGUUGUGGCUCAGCGGUAGAGUGCUUGCCUUGCGCGUGUGAGACCCUGGGUUCAAUCCUCAGCACCA